UCAGCUCAAUAUAACAAACUUGUGGUUAAAUCUGUAGUAAAAUCCCAAUAUUUGCCCAAUAAACUGCAAAAAAAAAAAUCUUAUAAUCCUAUAUUAUUUAAACCAAAAGUGGCUUGACACCCUGACAAUGGUUUUUCUUCAGAUUUUCAAAUUACCCCCAUCCCAUUUUCAUAAAUUUUACAUACCAUUAUUAUUAUUAUUAUUUUGUUUUGUUAUUAUUAUAGUUUUCCUAAUAUAUUAUAUAGAUUUGAUUCAAUCAUAGGGCUCACAAGAAAACAAGAAGUGUUGUAGAGAGAGGGAUAGGCCAACUUAAGAGAAGAUUCCAUGUUCUGCAUGGAGAAAUCCGCCUUUCUCCAGAAAAGGUGUGCUAAGUCAUCAUUGCUUGCUGCGUUUUGCACAACAUAUGCAAAUCUAGACAGAUACCUUGCCCAGCUGAUGAUAGUGGGAAUGAUGAUGAAAAUGUUAACAACCAACAAGAUGAUGGGCAUGCUACUGGUAAUCAUCAGAACGGUCAAACAGAAGGACUAAGGUACAGACAACUAUUUGCAGAAAAUCACUCUUGAUUGGUUAAUGUCCCUGCUGCUAUUGCCUGAGGUUACCAAUGGCAAUGAAGACUCCAGGACAUAUGUUACUUCUAGGGGAGUUGAUCCAAGAAUGUGGGGAUCUGUAUCUGGAGGUCCUUCAAUUACAUGGAUUCCCCUAUGAUGGGAAGAGGAAUACAUUAUUCUUUAUGAAUCUUGUAUUAAUCCAUUUGAGAAUGAUUAAAUGAUGACUUGGAUGAUUAGUUUAAUAAUUGUUGUUCUAUUUCUAUUUUGAUGUUUAUAUGAUAUAUCAUUAAUUUAUUUACACAAAUCAAAUUACAAACAUUAAUUCUGUCAUGGUAGAUUCCAAUCAAUCAAAGAAUUUGACACCUAUUAUGAUACAAUUUUAAAUAGUAAAUGAUGUUACUCAUUAA
This is a long non-coding RNA of Ostrea edulis (European flat oyster), 955 nucleotides long. RefSeq lists it as uncharacterized. The transcript is spliced from 2 exons. NCBI's taxonomy places the organism in Eukaryota, Metazoa, Mollusca, Bivalvia, Ostreida, Ostreidae. The record is from RefSeq and is a predicted model, not a curated record.